Tupaia belangeri chinensis (Chinese tree shrew) is the source of this 1283-nucleotide long non-coding RNA. RefSeq lists it as uncharacterized. The record is from RefSeq and is a predicted model, not a curated record. Lineage: Eukaryota; Metazoa; Chordata; Mammalia; Scandentia; Tupaiidae. The transcript is spliced from 2 exons.
UCCUUUCGGAAUUCGGGGCAUGCACACACACAUGCCUGGUAUGCUUAAGUUGCUGGGUGAGGGACUCACACUGCGGAGUUGGCUGCGUGUGAUCGACUGCCUUAACCUCUAGGCCACUGCCAGUCCCAGGGAUUCUUUUCUUUAAAAGUGCCUUGGCCUUUAAAACUUCUAAGAGUCUGUGAGAUAAGCUUUUAUGAGGGUUUCUUAAAUGAGUCACAUUUCCUUCCUAAGUUUCUAGAUAUCGUUUUACUUGCAUUGGAUGCUUUACUUUCACGAGCAAGAAACUAGCUUGGAGAAAGUCCUUAGUGCUCCCAGGACCCGCCGAGCCCGCGCGCUCCGUUCCCGAGGAUGGCGCUGUGUGUGUGCUCCUUCCUGGGCCGAGUCGCCCAGCGUGUGGACCCCACAGCUAAGAAAAGCUGACAUUCACAACGGAAGGGAACAAGAAGACGACUCCACGCCGAGGUGGACCUAAGAGGAAACGCCCAGCGCAGGGCACAACAACCGUCUUGUUCCCCAGCACGGUGGCGUUGGUGCCAGUGCUCGGGGCCGGUCUGACGGCCUUGGCUCGGCUCGGUGCGGCGCUGCCCGGCUUCCUGCUUCUGCCCAUCCCUGUUUAUUCUGUCAAUAAGACCACGUUUUAGAGCAACGCUUGCUCUGCUUGGCAGCCUGCACUUUUAUCACGAGUGUGGAAAUGUACUUCGCCCUGGUUUCUACGGAUGCCUAAACAUGUCUGGGUUGUGGUUGCCUAGGCAACUGGCUGAGCUGUGGCAGUGUGUGUGGUGACGGCUCUGGCUGGGGCUGGAGGGAAGCCCCAUGUCAUCCUGGGAGCUCCUCAACCAAGCCGGAGGGUCAGUACGAAGCCCCAGAGGCUCCCCAUGUCCUCUGCAAGCGUCCUGUUCUAUCUCCCUGAGAAGUCCCUGCUUAGCUGCCCGGGGCUGGGUGAUGUGGCGCAGAUGUGCCGACUUAUUUAGGGACCUGACCUUCUGUCCCUGACCCUGGGGCGUGAUUCCUUAGCAACCGUUGACCCAGGGUUGUUCUGGGUUGAACAGGGUGCUCUCCCUUCACGUUUCUAUUGCUUCCCAGGCCUGGGGCCGGUUUAUGGGCCCCAGAACUGAGCCUGGUCUGAGAGUCCCACUGAAACAUGGCCUUGCAGGGCCGGAGGGUAGUCCUGACCACCCAUAGUCAUGGGAAAAACUGACCUGAUUGGACUCCUGGAGUGCUCCACUGCUUUUACAAAGUCUGAGUGAAACGAUUGGUAUAAUAAAUUCUGGGCUUAUCCUUUA